RNAcentral lists this long non-coding RNA (1197 nucleotides) under Nicotiana benthamiana. Its description in RNAcentral is "long non-coding RNA (NBEN_LNC014448)". Lineage: Eukaryota; Viridiplantae; Streptophyta; Magnoliopsida; Solanales; Solanaceae. The record is from RNAcentral.
UUGUAAUUAGCUCUUUAUGGCUUUAUACUUCUUGGCAUAAUCAGGAAACUGGAUCUAUGAUCUUUUUUUAAAAAUAUUUUUAUUACCCCGUAGUAGGGGUAAAUGGGAAAGGAAUAAAUGUCCUUUAAAGUAAUUUUCAAAAAAUAUUUUUACUUCUAAUCGAAAGCACUAACGCCAUUUUUCCAAAAUAAAAAAAAAACAUAGCAUACAGUUGAAUUUUGAAUUAAAAAAAAUACUUUUGACCAAGAAAAAAAUUUGGCGAAACAUGCUUUAAGUAAGCUGUCCCCAAAAUCAAUGCUAAAUGAUUUGUGAUGACGAGGAGAUUGCUCCCACCACCUCAAACGACAACUAAAACAGUCCAAUCUUCUCGAAAAAAACAAAUUCUUCAGAGUCAACCGUGCUAGGUGCUCGACAAAAUACCAAAGUCAGUUCCCAUGCUCAGUCGGGCGAGCAAAUCAUUUAACAAGCUUCCCCUGAUCCUAAGGUAGCUAAUCGUAGUCCAAAUUAACAAGGAGCAGUGUUGAGUUGUCCCACAUCGGAGGGAUUUGACGUUCUUGAUCUCCUUAUAUGCCUUGGGCAAUUCUUACCUCAUAAACUAGCUUUUGGGAUUGAAUUAGGCCCAAGGUCUAUUCUUAUCAAGCAGUUCAAAAAUCUGAUCAUCAAGUUUUUCCUUCUUCACCAGAACUUCAGGUGGCCGACAAUAGUAGCCAACCCUCCCAAGUAUUACACACACCAAUUUGAAGAAAAAUCAAAAGCUCUCAAUUAAAAAUGCAACACCUUCAGCCUAACCUAUUCUGCAACUCCCCUCAACGGCUACUACUGUUUCUCACCUAAAUAGUUCAAAUCCUAAAGCCAAAACUCAGACUAACCAUUCCUCCCCCUCCAAUAAUUACACAAUUGUUUGCUACUAGGUGAGGGCUAGGCAUGAUGCAGAGAUUUCUCCAACUGAGUUCACCACACCUAUUAUCACAACCAAACAGGGAAAAACACGCACACACAUACAUAGAUCUAUAGAAAAAUUAAGAAAAAGUUGUAAAAGAAAUUCCACCACCAUUAUCUUGCCAGACGUUACUUCGGCGUUUAUUUUCGUAGGUAGCAGCGUAAAAAAGUGUACAUAAUAGAAAAAACACAAAGGCAAAAAGAUACGAGAAUUAUUCUGCUUCGUUUUUGUUCUCCGAUGUCUUAUCUGAGAGAGAU